RNAcentral lists this ribosomal RNA (253 nucleotides) under uncultured bacterium. Its description in RNAcentral is "partial 16S ribosomal RNA". It matches the Rfam family "Bacterial small subunit ribosomal RNA", at positions 524 to 776 of the family's 1533-position model. The record is from RNAcentral.
UACAGAGGGUGCAAGCGUUAAUCGGAAUUACUGGGCGUAAAGCGUGCGCAGGCGGUCUUUUAAGUCAGAUGUGAAAUCCCCGGGCUUAACCUGGGAACUGCGUUUGAAACUGGAAGGCUAGAGUGUGGCAGAGGGGGGUGGAAUUCCACGUGUAGCAGUGAAAUGCGUAGAGAUGUGGAGGAACACCGAUGGCGAAGGCAGCCCCCUGGGCUAACACUGACGCUCAUGCACGAAAGCGUGGGGAGCAAACAGG